RNAcentral lists this transfer RNA (64 nucleotides) under Geniates sp. Arg2. RNAcentral's name for it is "tRNA-Leu". The record is from RNAcentral. Lineage: Eukaryota; Metazoa; Arthropoda; Insecta; Coleoptera; Scarabaeidae.
UUACUUUGGCAGAUUAGUGCUUUAAAUUUAGAAUUUAAUAAUGUAUGGUUAAUACAGGUAAUAA